This 505-nucleotide ribosomal RNA is filed under the name uncultured bacterium. RNAcentral describes it as "partial 16S ribosomal RNA". It matches the Rfam family "Bacterial small subunit ribosomal RNA", at positions 28 to 507 of the family's 1533-position model. The record is from RNAcentral.
GACGAACGCUGGCGGCGUGCCUAAUACAUGCAAGUAGAACGCACAGUUUAUACCGUAGCUUGCUACACCAUAGACUGUGAGUUGCGAACGGGUGAGUAACGCGUAGGUAACCUGCCUGGUAGCGGGGGAUAACUAUUGGAAACGAUAGCUAAUACCGCAUAAUAUUGAUUAUUGCAUGAUAAUUAAUUGAAAGGUGCAAUUGCACCACUACCAGAUGGACCUGCGUUGUAUUAGCUAGUAGGUGAGGUAACGGCUCACCUAGGCGACGAUACAUAGCCGGCCUGAGAGGGUGAUCGGCCAAAAUGGGACUGAGACACGGCCCAGACCUCUACGGGGGGCAGCAGGAGGGGAUCUUCGGCAAUGGACGAAAGUCUGACCGAGCAACGCCGCGUGAGUGAAGAAGGGUUUCGGAUCGGAAAGCUCUGUUGUAAGAGAAGAACGGGUGUGAGAGUGGAAAGUUCACACUGUGACGGUAGCUGAACAGAAAGGGACGGCUAACUACGUG